RNAcentral lists this long non-coding RNA (2647 nucleotides) under Coturnix japonica (Japanese quail). Its description in RNAcentral is "lncRNA (ENSCJPG00005007598.1)". Lineage: Eukaryota; Metazoa; Chordata; Aves; Galliformes; Phasianidae. The record is from RNAcentral.
AUGAGAGAAGAAGGCCCAUCUGUUGCUGUCAUACUGCCAGAGAUUUUCCUUUUGUAUGUGACUGUCAUCACCUUCCUAGUGGCCUCUACCGUGACAUUCCAGCCUACAAAGCUCGUCCAGCUUAAAAGCACAGCAGCACAGCGCACGAUGGGCUACGCUGCUCCAGGAGGGGUGCUCUUGGUGGUGCUGACGAGCAGCUUCCACAUGAAGAACAUCCACCAACGCCAUGAAGAAGGCUGUGCAGCAUUCAUGGAUGUCACCACCCUUGUGGUCAGCACAGCAGCAGUGUUGGCCCUGCCAAUCCUUGCCAUCUUCCUCUGUUAUCACACCACACAGGGGUGGCUGCAGGAACACAACUCCAGUUGUGCAGACAAGGAAAGGUCCUUUGAGAUGUCCCUGCCCAUCAGCAAGGAUCCUGAUUUAAUCUCCUAGGCAUUGGCGAUAUUUCCUGUUCCUGUGUGGCUGGCUUAACAUGUUAAUAGAUCUGGGUUUCGUAGGUUUGAGCCUGUGAUAUCUUGGUGGUAAACAGCAAUGAAACGAAUCAUUUCAGUCUUUCCUUUCAACACAGCUCUUGGGAUUUCUAAUGCACAUUCUUUUCUGCUUUAAAACCAGAUUCGGAGUUAGAGAAAUGCCCUUCGAACUAGUUACAAGCACAUCUCUCACUAGUUUAUGGCAUUAAUUUGGCUGUGUAUGUUUCUGAGUGUGUGUGUAGGUAACCAACCAUGGCCACUCCAGCCUUUUCCUGCUGCCACACAGGGCAAGAAGCUUGACUGCUUCUUCUCCACAUGCAGGUGACUUCAAGGUGAUUUACAAGGCAGGUUCAGGCUCUUUUCCCCCUUAUCCACAGCUCUGUGUGCUCCCUGCACGCCUCCUGAAGACCUGUGCAAAUGAGAGGGCACACCUAAGGACUGCUGUUCUCACCUGGCAGCAUCUAUGCCUGCAGAUAAUUUCUUGUGCUUUAACUGUAUUUGCUGAAAUGCAAAUUACUCUGUAUAAGCACUUUGCCUGUCACAGACUGACAAUGGCUCUUCUGAUCCUUGCUGGCUUUUUCUGCACAGGAAGGAAAAUAUGUGGUGUUUUGGAGAGUGGUGUGUAGGCCAAAUAUGAGCGUUGUUUGCGUAGAGGAUUUCCUGCUCACACUGCAGCAUGGGGAAGUGGAGGUCUGGCUCCAGGUAGCCAACAGCAAUUUGAAGUGUGAUAUUCAGCUUUUUGCCAGCACUCGAGAGCAUUCUCUGCUGGACCAGACCGCGUCUGUUUUAGUAGUGAGGGUUAAGAAUUCGUUCCUUUCUAUAGCUUUUAAAAUUCUCUCCUUCAGUUCACCCCAAGCAGCAGUAGCUGAGCGCUCGAGGUUCUGCAUGAGGGUUCCUCGCAGCUGGUCCGAGGGGAAGCAAACACAAACCCUCCCUUUGCAAGGGAAUGAUCUCGCUGCAACAGUAAACUGAUGGAUCUGGUUACAGGUGGCAGUACCCCCUCUCAGGGGCAUAGGUUGUGUUUGUCUAUCUGCCUGCCACCUGCCACACUUUCCUGCUGCCCUGAUACAUGAAAUUAUGUAUCAACAUUCUGUCUUUGCAUAGUUUUGUUAGCUGUCUUGGUUUCUCUCUAAUACCGUUAAGCUUUUAAAAGUGAUUUAAUCUAGCAAGCCAGGGCCGGCUGUGGGAUGCAAUGAUCAGACCAUGGAAGGAGAUGCUGGUCUCAGCACAGAGUGCCCCAGUAUAGGGCUGUCCUUCCCCAGGGGCAGCAGUUUGUAUUUCCCUUUGCUCUCAAGCCCACUUAGCUCCCCCUAGAUGCCAGCAUCACCACUGGUGCCACUUAUCCCAGCUUGGUGGCACUGCUGAAGAUGCUGAGCCCUGGGACACGCUGCCAGCAGGGUGCUGUGCUGCUGCCUGUGACUAAGCUGUUGUGCUGGUUAUCAGCCCUCUGCCUGCCCAAUGCAGCGUUGACAAGUAGAAGGACAGAGAAGGAAGCGGGGCAUAGCAGCUUUCAGGGCCUCUAGCAGGCAGAUAAUACUGGUGCAUUGGGUUUACAUGGCAGGGUUUUGGCAGGGGGGCUGCAUGGGUGUGAGCAGAGCCCUGGAGCUGUCCCGUGGUUUACAAGUGGGACCCAGAAAGGAUUGCCAGCAUUGAGUUGACAUUACAGUAACAAUAUUAUGUUACAAGCACAGCUGCUGAACUGUUGUGUAAUAUACGCAGUGCUUGUCAGCAACACCAUAGAAGCCUUUAUAUGUUAUGGAUGAUAUUUGUGAGGUAGCACUGUGGAUGGGGAGGCAUGUUGUGAGAUUGCUGUGCUUUAACAUGAUACAAGUUAUGACAAUGUAGUUAAGCUUGCUAAUGUUUGUUAGCGGAUACCCCUGCCCUGAAAUUUGUUUAGAUAACAGAAAGAGCUGUGUCUCUGAACCAAGGAGAUAAAGAAGUUCUGCUGAGUCUCAGUACCAAGGAAACAGGAGGUGCUGUUUGGAAUGGGUCACUGAAUAUGUAACGUAGUCCUGCAAAAACUUCUGCUUAGACAACACAAGUUACGUAUACAAAUAGAUGAUCUUUUGUGUAAGGUAUGUGUGAUGGGAGGAUUAUCCCUGUGCAUCCAGUGCUGCCCACGAGAAUACCUGCUUUAUGGAAAUAAAACUUUUGCUGUUAAGUCUCUCUGCGUCCGU